RNAcentral lists this transfer RNA (76 nucleotides) under Cylindrotheca closterium. RNAcentral describes it as "tRNA-Pro". It matches the Rfam family "tRNA". From Rfam's summary of the family: Transfer RNA (tRNA) molecules are approximately 80 nucleotides in length. Their secondary structure includes four short double-helical elements and three loops (D, anti-codon, and T loops). The record is from RNAcentral. Lineage: Eukaryota; Bacillariophyta; Bacillariophyceae; Bacillariales; Bacillariaceae.
UCGGGAUAUAGCUCAGCUUGGUAGAGCACCUGCUUUGGGAGCAGGGGGUCGUAGGUUCAAAUCCUACUAUCCCGAA